GACGAACGCUGGCGGCGUGCUUAACACAUGCAAGUCGAACGGAGAGUUCAUUUCCCGAAGUUUUCGGAUGGAGGGAGCGGAUUUUUAGUGGCGGACGGGUGAGUAACGCGUGAGCAACCUGUCCUGCAGAGGGGGACAACAACGGGAAACCGUUGCUAAUACCGCAUAAGACCACGGUCUCGCAUGGGGCUGAGGUAAAAGGAGAAAUCCGCUGCAGGAGGGGCUCGCGUCCCAUUAGAUAGUUGGUGAGGUAACGGCUCACCAAGUCAGCGAUGGGUAGCCGGACUGAGAGGUUGAACGGCCACACUGGGACUGAGACACGGCCCAGACUCCUACGGGAGGCAGCAGUGGGGAAUAUUGGGCAAUGGGCGCAAGCCUGACCCAGCAACGCCGCGUGAAGGAAGAAGGUCUUCGGAUUGUAAACUUCUGUCAUUGGGGACGAAGGAAGUGACGGUACCCAAUGAGGAAGCCCCGGCUAACUACGUG
This 486-nucleotide ribosomal RNA is filed under the name uncultured organism. Its description in RNAcentral is "bacterial SSU rRNA". It matches the Rfam family "Bacterial small subunit ribosomal RNA", at positions 28 to 507 of the family's 1533-position model. The record is from RNAcentral.